Molecule: ribosomal RNA, 451 nt
Filed under: uncultured bacterium
Lineage: Bacteria
Description: bacterial SSU rRNA
Rfam family: Bacterial small subunit ribosomal RNA
Source: RNAcentral
CCUUCGGGUACUGGAGAGUGGCGCACGGGUGAGUAACGCGUGGGGACCUACCUCUUAGUGGGGGAUAACGGUUGGAAACGACCGCUAAUACCGCAUACGCCCUUCGGGGGAAAGAUUUAUCGCUAAGAGAUGGACCCGCGUUGGAUUAGAUAGUUGGUGAGGUAACGGCUCACCAAGUCAGCGAUCCAUAGCUGGUUUGAGAGGAUGAUCAGCCACACUGGGACUGAGACACGGCCCAGACUCCUACGGGAGGCAGCAGUGGGGAAUAUUGGACAAUGGGGGCAACCCUGAUCCAGCCAUGCCGCGUGAGUGAAGAAGGCCUUCGGGUUGUAAAGCUCUUUCAGAUGCGAAGAUGAUGACGGUAACAUCAGAAGAAGCCCCGGCUAAUUUCGUGCCAGCAGCCCGCGGUAAUACCAAAGGGGCUAGCCGUUGUUCGGAUUUACUUGGGCGU